GCUCCAAUAGCGUAUAUUAAAAGUUGUUGCAGUUAAAAAAGCUCGUAGUUGGAUUUGUGGUGUACUUGGCGGCCCCGUCACUAUGUGAUGGAGCUUGCUGGAGUCGCCAUCCUUGGGUGGAUCCUGUGUGGCAUUAAGUUGUCGUGCAGGGGAUGCCAUCGUUUACUGUGAAAAAAUUAGAGUGUUCAAAGCAGGCUUAU
This 200-nucleotide ribosomal RNA is filed under the name uncultured eukaryote. RNAcentral describes it as "partial 18S ribosomal RNA". It matches the Rfam family "Eukaryotic small subunit ribosomal RNA", at positions 588 to 789 of the family's 1831-position model. The record is from RNAcentral.